CUUUUGCUUCAUGAUUUAUGAGACACAGCAUGAUUGAGGGAAAGAAUUUGCAAGUGGCAAUUAGAGGCACAUAGGAGGAAGCAAGCUGGAAUGAUUUCUGCUAACGAGCCCCAAGAAGAAUGAAUUCAUCAACAUAGGGCUGUUCUGACUGUGUGGCUGAUACUGGAAUCAUGCUAAUGGUGCUUCCCUACCCAGGAAAGCUAGCUCGCAGCUCUGGAAACUUCAGUGCAUCUGAAGGAGGCCCUCUGUACUUACAAGGAGAACUACUCCAGAACACCGUCUUGAAAUGGAUCUGCUCACAAAGACUGGAGCAUUUUCAACGUGUGAGAGUGAGGAAGAGGAAGGAGAUAAGGCUGAUGCUGAGGAAUGGUUAACGUCUGGACUUCAGGGGACAGAUAGCGUUGUGUAAAGGACUUCAUUUCAGCGCUAUAAUAAUGCUUUAAGAAAGUGUGAGUACAAACAGAAUCAGAGAUUCUAUAUCCUGCUCAGUCCUUAGGUUAUAAAGAUGGAGGUCAUUAGUUGAACUCAUGUAAGUUU
This 537-nucleotide long non-coding RNA is filed under the name Mus spicilegus (steppe mouse). Its description in RNAcentral is "lncRNA (ENSMSIG00000031029.1)". Lineage: Eukaryota; Metazoa; Chordata; Mammalia; Rodentia; Muridae. The record is from RNAcentral.